RNAcentral lists this ribosomal RNA (504 nucleotides) under uncultured bacterium. RNAcentral describes it as "partial 16S ribosomal RNA". It matches the Rfam family "Bacterial small subunit ribosomal RNA", at positions 30 to 523 of the family's 1533-position model. The record is from RNAcentral.
AUUGAACGCUGGCGGCAGGCUUAACAUAUGCAAGUCGAGCGGGGUGAUGGUGCUUGCACUAUCACUUAGCGGCGGACGGGUGAGUAAUGCUUAGGAAUCUGCCUAUUAGUGGGGGACAACAUCUCGAAAGGGAUGCUAAUACCGCAUACGUCCUACGGGAGAAAGCAGGGGAUCACUUGUGACCUUGCGCUAAUAGAUGAGCCUAAGUCGGAUUAGGUAGUUGGUGGGGUAAAGGCCCACCAAGCCAACGAUCUGUAGCUGGUCUGAGAGGACGACCAGCCACACUGGAACUGAGACACGGUCCAGACUCCUACGGGAAGGCAGCAGUGGGGAAUAUUGGACAAUGGGGGGAACCCUGAUCCAGCCAUGCCGCGUGUGUGAAGAAGGCCUUAUGGUUGUAAAGCACUUUAAGCGAGGAGGAGGCUCUUUUGGUUAAUACCCAAGAUGAGUGGACGUUACUCGCAGAAUAAGCACCGGCUAACUCUGUGCCAGCAGCCGCAGUAA